Non-coding RNA from Schistosoma mattheei, 45 nucleotides. Lineage: Eukaryota; Metazoa; Platyhelminthes; Trematoda; Strigeidida; Schistosomatidae. The record is from Rfam.
AUCAAGCUGAUGAGUUCUAAAUAGGACGAAACUCGCAUCCUGGAU